This 26-nucleotide non-coding RNA is filed under the name Rattus norvegicus (Norway rat). The record is from RNAcentral. Lineage: Eukaryota; Metazoa; Chordata; Mammalia; Rodentia; Muridae.
UGGGAUGUGGAAGAGUGUGGUUGAGC